RNAcentral lists this long non-coding RNA (3571 nucleotides) under Oreochromis niloticus (Nile tilapia). RNAcentral describes it as "lncRNA (ENSONIG00000034228.1)". The record is from RNAcentral. Lineage: Eukaryota; Metazoa; Chordata; Actinopteri; Cichliformes; Cichlidae.
UUUGGAAUCAUGGUUUGAUUAGGGUUCUGUGUAGGUUAGCUGUAUGCUCAGCGUGAGUGUUUGCUUUUUGAUGGCUAAUUUUGAUGCAUGGGAGCAAAAAUUAAAUAAAAUAAAAUAACUGUGGCAUUUAAGUAAAUACAAAUAAAAAUAUUUCCAUGGUAAUAAAAUUAUAUAUUUCAGGUGUUUUGUUGUUUAGUCACUGGGAUCUUGGUUAUAUCAGAAGUUACAAAAUUAAAUAAAGUUGCACAUGUGAAACUGACAAAAGAAUAAAGAACAAAGGAAAUGACAUCAGGGCAAAUGAAAACAUACAAGAGGAAAGUUCUACUGACAAAUAUGUUGCAUAUAUUAAGGAAAAACAUAAUUACAAAUAUUUUCAUAAUAUAUGUUGUGUUUAAUUAACAGUUCAUGUACGGCUUGAUUCAGUUUAUUACAUGUUUUGUUAUUUAGGAAGCAGAAAGGGCAUCGUAGUCACACUAAUCUCCUGUGACAGACUGCCCCUCAGCUCCUCCACUUUCCUCCCCCACACCUUCAGUACGGUGCCCGAAAGCUCACGUUAUCCCGGCUGUGCACGCGAUUACAGCAACAGCAAAGUUUUGUGAACAGGCACGAUUCAGUGGGCUUGAUUUGACGAGGCUGACAACAGCAAUUACCUCCUCUCACACAGUGCCUGAACAGUGCAUCUUCUCGCAACACUUCAACUGUAAGUCUUCAACUGUAAUGGUGGACAAAAACAUUCCAAGAACACUUUGUUUUUUAGAUCAAAUAUUUAAUAGUCUGGUCUUAAAAUAGCAUUCAAUAAACCCAAGAAACAAUUCAACUGGUGGAGAAAUCCAAUACAAUAAAGCAUGCUCAGUAUAUCUGCUAAAGCAUGAGGCAUGUUCAACAUCUUUCACAUUAGAACAAGUAAAUCAUGCAGUGGCAGCAGACUUUCACAUUUAACAAAGACACCUGGCCACCAAAUCAGCUCUGCAGCAGCAACUGGGGGAAGUCGAGGGGUGAUUGCUGCUACUACAGUAGUCAGAAAAAAAAUCCAAAAAAGGUUGAUCAUAAAACCUUUGUACUUACUUUAUCUUUCAGUGCAAAUCCUUCUCCCUCUUAUAAACAUGUCUUCUACUAACAGUCUUUUAAAAAACAAACAAACAAAGAAAAAACUUAUCAGCUUCACAUUUUCUGCCAAAAUCUCAUGAAUAAAUACAUAAAGCACAUAAUGAUACACACUUACUGGGAACUAGCAUAAUUUCUGCUAGAAUAAAAUACAGAGUUCUGCCAUUAAAAAAUCCUUAAAACAAUCAAUCAAAAAUCCUUAUUAAUGUUCAGAUAAUGCAGUAUAUGGAUGAGUGUUACACACCCACACACAUACAAAGAGCUGGAUAUUAUCUUCUUGAAAUAUGACACAUGGCAAUAUGUUUAUAUAACAGAAUCCUGAAACCACAAAUAUGAAAUUAGAUGCUUAUGCAACUGCAUGAGGCAAAAGUUUAGGAUAAGAAUGACUGAAAGAGGACCUACUAUGCUCAUAUUUUUUGUUCUUGGGCAAAGUAGUAGCUUUGCACAACUCACAGGUCAAAAUAAUCCUUAUUUAUCUUAUACUGGGCACUGUUGAAGCACUGUUGAUUCAUUUAUCAUCCUUUAAGACUUCUCUUGCUUUAAGCCUUCUGAUUGUCUGGCCUUCCUAACCGAAGGAUGGAAAAGCAGUUGGGACUUGCCUGAAAUGCCCAUAUAAGUAUAUCCUCUCUCUUUGAUGAGAUACAGAGCGGAGAGUACAAAAAACCGAUCUGAAGUCAUUGUGACCCCUUGCACCUUUGGUCUGUGAUUUCCCUACACACUCCAAAACAUCAACCUCUGCUUCAAACUGACCUGAGUUUUGUGUGGAUGGUCAUUAAUUGUAAUGAGAGCAGGGUCUCUUUUCAGUUGAAGACUUCACAGUUUCCACUUUUAAAGGCAUCUCUUCAGAUGAGAAGUGGCAGUGAGAGAAUGCUUGUCAUUUUUUUUCAAACUACAUCUGGUUUUAAAUUAUAAAUUCACCUCUCAGUGAGAGACUGUCAAGACUGAAUUCAAUUGUAGCAACUUGAGUCAGUGGAGGGAUAUUUAAAGGAGAACAUUCAGAACAGAACUGAAAAUGCAGGACUUCUUAAGCCACUAAAACAACCUUUGCACACUGCUUUAGACCAGUCAACAGAUUUGUCUCCCUGGAACAAUUACAGAAAUGAAAAUCAAAUUGAAGGAUCGCAGUUGUGACACAUGAGAGGAGAUCCAGCGUCUGUCACAGAAGUGCAAGAAGACAAAGCAGGACUUCCACUGGGAGAUCUAAAAAAAGCAUCUCUAUUGAAAAUUGUCCAGAUGUGCACCAGAAGAUGACUUUUAAGGAAGAUCAGACAAACUUACAGCAGGUAAAGGUUUUUGAUAUUAUGGAGUUAUUGUCAGCUCCUUUAAAAAAAAAUCACACCUCAUCUGUAUGACAGUAAACAGGGAAAAAAAUCCUAUUUAAAAUCAAAAAAGAAACGGAAUGCAUUAAUAUCAGGAUGUAGGCAGAAAAAGUAAAACAUUUGCCUCUCCUGCAUUUCCACCACUGAGGUGUCCCUGACAAAAUCAUCAACAUCCCAGCUGCAAAGCUGCUCAGAGGUAAGCCAUGUAGCCUGUGGCUAUAUCAGUGACGCUAAACAAACAAAAAAAAGAAAGCGUUUAUAAUAACAGUGAUAAAUAAAUGCAUAACAAAAUACAGCAUUAACUGUUGUCUUGUAUUAACCCCUUAAAUUCUAAUCUUUCUGUCUUUCUAAAUAAAAGAAUUUCAUCCAGAUUUAGUGAGUAACAGCUUCCAACUGUGAGUUCAGCCAGCCUUGGAGUGGAGAUACUGGGAGAAUUGUGAAUUGCAAAAUGUCUUUUUCUGUCCUUGAGAGAUUUAACAAAACCCAGACGUUGGUGGUUCUGUUUUAAAAACUCUCAGCUCAAACAAUUGCUACAGUGCAUUUUAUUCUUGGCAGCACCAGACCAAGUGUGCUGAUUGUGUUUGUAAAAGCAUGGCGCCGAGUACUCCAGGGUGGAAUUGUUCUAGCUUUGCAGUUUUUAAAAUUUCUUGACAUUGUUAUAGCAGACUGGACAAGUAAAAAGGGCAAACAGCUGCUUAGGAUUUGUUUUCUUGCAGUGGCCAUGAAACUCUAUAUUUGUAAAGAUUUCUCUCCAAUAAGACAGAGCCUGAUGUAUGUUCAGUGAUCUUCAAAUGAUAGAUAGAUAGAUAGAUAGAUAGAUAGAUAGAUAGAUAGAUAGAUAGAUAGAUAGAUAGAUAGAUAGAUAGAUAGAUAGAUAGAUAGAGAUAGAUAGAUCGAUGAUAGAUAGAUAGAUAGAUAGAUAGAUAGAUAGAUAGAUAGAUAGAUAGAUAGAUAGAUAGAUAGAUAGAUAUGCAGUCAUGCAGUACAAACUGUUGAGGUCUAAAAUAAGAGAUGACAGAAUAGAAGACUUAAUGCAAGACUAAACGGGGUCUGAUUAAACACUUGUAUUAAACACACAAAGUGCAUGCUAGAAUGGAAUAAAAAAUAAAUUGUUAAAGCAUUCUUCCAUUAAAAAGAAGUAACAGUCU